Molecule: long non-coding RNA, 460 nt
Organism: Helianthus annuus (common sunflower)
Lineage: Eukaryota; Viridiplantae; Streptophyta; Magnoliopsida; Asterales; Asteraceae
Exons: 2
Source: RefSeq, a predicted model, not a curated record
AAUGUUGAACAUUGUGGUUGUUGGUUCAUGUCAUAUGCAUGAUAAGCUUGACUAAUGAAAGUCUAUGUAGCUAAGAGCUAGGAAUGGAUGUGAUAUGAACGAACAUGCAUACUAACUAUGAUAUGGACGUAAUGACUUGAAAUGAUAGGAAUUCCAAUUAACAUGGACUCAAGAAUGGAAGGCUAACGAAUCAAUGGUAAAUAAAGAAGCUAUGCACAAACUCGGACGCACGAGGUAUUGCACGUAUCUCUACCACUACUAUCGAAGAUAAGCAUGCAUUGAUCGAGCCGCAAAGCAAAGAUUGUACGGGAAGAACGGCCACAUAGUCUGAUUAUGUAUUGUCUUGAAGCGUUACUUUAAUGUGGUUAUUGUUAAUCCCUUUUUUGUAAAUGUUUAUCAUUUGUAUUUGAGCUUUUAAAUAAGUAAUGGGUCUAAAUAAGAAAGAAAAUUUUUGGGCUCA